This 440-nucleotide ribosomal RNA is filed under the name uncultured bacterium. Its description in RNAcentral is "partial 16S ribosomal RNA". It matches the Rfam family "Bacterial small subunit ribosomal RNA", at positions 338 to 795 of the family's 1533-position model. The record is from RNAcentral.
CCUACGGGAGGCAGCAGUGGGGAAUAUUGCACAAUGGGGGAAACCCUGAUGCAGCGACGCCGCGUGAGCGAUGAAGUAUUUCGGUAUGUAAAGCUCCAUUAGCAGGGAAGAAAAUGACGGUACCUGACUAAGAAGCCCCGGCUAACUACGUGCCAGCAGCCGCGGUAAUACGUAGGGGGCAAGCGUUAUCCGGAUUUACUGGGUGUAAAGGGAGCGUAGACGGCUUGGCAAGCCAGAUGUGAAAGGCUGGGGCUCAACCUCAGGACUGCAUUUGAAACUGUCAUGCUAGAGUGUCGGAGAGGCAGGUGGAAUGCCUGGUGUAGCGGUGAAAUGCAUAGAUAUUAGACAGAACACCGGUGGCGAAGGCAGCCUACUAGACGAUGACUGACGUUGAGGCUCGAAAGCGUGGGGAGCAAACAGGAUUAGAUACCCCUGUAGUC